RNAcentral lists this ribosomal RNA (497 nucleotides) under uncultured bacterium. RNAcentral's name for it is "partial 16S ribosomal RNA". It matches the Rfam family "Bacterial small subunit ribosomal RNA", at positions 28 to 507 of the family's 1533-position model. The record is from RNAcentral.
GAUGAACGCUGGCGGCGUGCCUAAUACAUGCAAGUCGAGCGAACGGACGAGAAGCUUGCUUCUCUGAUGUUAGCGGCGGACGGGUGAGUAACACGUGGAUAACCUACCUAUAAGACUGGGAUAACUUCGGGAAACCGUAGCUAAUACCGUAUAAUAUUUUGAACCGCAUGGUUCAAAAGUGAAAGACGGUCUUGCUGUCACUUAUAGAUGGAUCCGCGCUGCAUUAGCUAGUUGGUAAGGUAACGGCUUACCAAGGCAACGAUGCAUAGCCGACCUGAGAGGGUGAUAAGCCAACCUGGAAGUCAGACACGGUCCAAGCUCCUACGGGAGGCAGCAGUGGGGAACCUUCCACAAUGAGCGGAAGCCUGACUGAGUAACGCAACGUGAGUGAUGAAGGGCUCCGGAUCGUAAAGCUCAGUUAUUAGAGAAGAACAUAUGUGUAGGAAACUAUACACAUCUUAGCAGUACGUAAGCAGAAAACCACGCUUGACUACGUG